Molecule: non-coding RNA, 73 nt
Organism: Austrofundulus limnaeus
Lineage: Eukaryota; Metazoa; Chordata; Actinopteri; Cyprinodontiformes; Rivulidae
Source: the annotation of a RefSeq genome assembly
GCCCAACUAGCUCAGUUGGUAGAGCAUGAGAUUUUUAAUCUCAGGGUCAUGGGUUSAAGUCCCAUGUUGGGCG